Molecule: ribosomal RNA, 255 nt
Filed under: uncultured bacterium
Lineage: Bacteria
Description: partial 16S ribosomal RNA
Rfam family: Bacterial small subunit ribosomal RNA
Source: RNAcentral
CGGGUGAGUAACACGUAUGGAACCUGCCCUAUGCAGGGGGAUAAGCGGAAGAAAUUCCGUCUAAUACCGCAUAACACCAUUUGGAGACAUCUCCAGGUGGUCAAAGGAGGCGACUCCGGCAUAGGAUGGCCAUGCGUCGCAUUAGCUAGUCGGCGGGGUAACGGCCCACCGAGGCGAUGAUGCGUAGGGGUUCUGAGAGGAAGGUCCCCCACACUGGUACUGAGACACGGACCAGACUCCUACGGGAGGCAGCAG